GAUGAACGCUGGCGGCGUGCUUAACACAUGCAAGUCGAACGUGAGAGGUAGCAAUAUCUUGAAAGUGGCGCACGGGUGAGUAACACGUAGGUAACCUGCCUCGGAGUGGGGGAUAACCAGUUAGAAAUGACUGCUAAUACCGCAUGAAUCCAUUAAGAUGGGAAUGUUGAUGGAGAAAACUCUGGUGCUUCGAGAGGGGCCUGCGGUCGAUUAGCUAGUUGGCGGGUAACGGCCCACCAAGGCGACGAUCGAUAGCUGGUCUGAGAGGACGAUCAGCCACACGGGAACUGAGACACGGUCCCGACUCCUACGGGGGGCAGCAGUGAGGAAUAUUGGGCAAUGGCGGAAGCCUGACCCAGCAACGCCGCG
Molecule: ribosomal RNA, 369 nt
Filed under: uncultured bacterium
Lineage: Bacteria
Description: bacterial SSU rRNA
Rfam family: Bacterial small subunit ribosomal RNA
Source: RNAcentral